AAUUAGCCCCGAUUGCAGCGGUUACCCCGGAACGAGCCUUGGGAAAAGCCCUGGCGUGAGGAGUAAUAGCGGAAAGCGGGAUAAAGC
Molecule: small RNA, 87 nt
Organism: Epilithonimonas sp.
Lineage: Bacteria; Pseudomonadati; Bacteroidota; Flavobacteriia; Flavobacteriales; Weeksellaceae
Rfam family: Flavo-1 RNA
Source: Rfam